Molecule: ribosomal RNA, 253 nt
Filed under: uncultured archaeon
Lineage: Archaea
Description: partial 16S ribosomal RNA
Rfam family: Archaeal small subunit ribosomal RNA
Source: RNAcentral
CCCCAGCGCCACGAGUGGGAGCCACAAUUAUUUGGCCUAAAGCGUCCGUAGCUGGUUUUGUAAAUCUUUUGUGAAAUCGGAAAGCUUAACUUUCCGGCGUGCAGAAGACACUGCAUUACUUGAGACCGGGAGGGGUAAGGAGUAUUUCCAGGGAACCGGUAAAAUGGGAUAAUCCUGGAAGGACUACCUGUGGCGAAGGCGCCUUACCAGAACGGGUCUGACAGUGAGGGACGAAGGCUAGGGGAGCGAACCG